Bactrocera neohumeralis is the source of this 1407-nucleotide long non-coding RNA. RefSeq lists it as uncharacterized. The record is from RefSeq and is a predicted model, not a curated record. The transcript is spliced from 5 exons. NCBI's taxonomy places the organism in Eukaryota, Metazoa, Arthropoda, Insecta, Diptera, Tephritidae.
UCGUGUGUCGGUAAGUGCGCGUCGGUUCGUGAUCGCGAACAAAUUUUGUGAAAAAGUAAGAAAUUAAUCAAUUAGUGCAGUUUUCUGAGUAUUAUAUUAAAAUUAUUUGAAUUUGUGAAUGUGCAGUGAUAAGUGUGUGUUAAUUAAUUGAAGAGAAAGUGUGCAAAUGCAAUGUAGCAAAGCAAAGCAGAAUGUGUUGGUUUGGCAAACAUGUGUCAGCAUGCCCGUGUGAAAAAUGUGCUUUUGCUCGAAGGUUCCUAAUUGCGCGCUGUGCUAUGUAUAGUAGUAAAUCUAAGUUUAGUGAGAAAUUUAUCAAUAUUGGUGAUAUUAAAUUGUGUUUAUUGUUCGAUCGUUGCGUUUAAAAUAUCCGACGUAUGUUUAAUCGAAAGAAAUUAAAUAUGUACAUAUAUACAUAUGUAUGUAUGUGCAGUAAACAAAAGUUACAGCAGUCUGCCUUAUGAUACGUUGGCAACACUAUAAUGCAAAUCGCUGCAUAUUCUUGGUCGCUGAGCAAUGUAUUUAUUUGCGGCUAAGCAGUGGAUUUCCGUACACGCUUACAAACAUAUGUACAUUCGUGCACGUAAGCACGUAUAUUUGCGCACACGUUUAUAAGUGCGUGCGGAAUAAAAUUUCACCAUACACUCGUUUAUAUCCCGAGGAAAGCUGAGUGUAGUGCAACGUGAAGUGAGCGACAGUAGAAACACAACGCAUCAGAAAAAAAACUGUUUAAUGAAAACAUCAGUGAAGCACGGCGCAGGAGAAGCGGGUUUUCCGUGCUUUGGCGCCUGCGAUACGCCCUCUUCAGUCGACGGCAAUGUACUGAGUGCUUAGCCAAACAAUCGGCGUCUGGAGUGCUGCUAGUCUGAGCCGCCGACGAUACACUCGCCUGUUGCACAGUCGAACGCACUUGAACGCAACAAAAAGAAAAAAAACAACCAAAAACAACAACGAAACAAGGCAUAUAAAAAGCAACAACAAAACAAGGCAUAUCAAGCGUAACAAGAACAACACGAAAUAUUCGCUGUAAUGUAACACUAUCGCCUCAGUGCCGAAAACCCCACUACGUUGGCGAAUGUAUUGUAUGUGUAUGUAUGUAUAUGAAAGCGUGCAAGUGUGUGUUAGUGUGCGUGCGUUAUCAACCCCACAAGCUAAAUCCGCCAUGCAUACAAACACACACGUUUGUGUACACUUGCAUGCCUGUUCGGCCGUGAGGGCACAGCACGUUCGUGUCUGCUACGAAAAUGGCUAACAGGAGGCAGAGAUAACAGAAAAAAACGAUAAGGCGUGUUCACUGUGUAAUGAAGAGAAUAUCUGUAUGUAAAUUUUCAUACAUACAAAUGCAUUAAAAAUAAAUGAAUAAACGAUAAUUAAAAAAAAUUAAUAAUACAAAAAUUUUAAAAAUAAAAA